This is a long non-coding RNA of Oncorhynchus tshawytscha (Chinook salmon), 1260 nucleotides long. Lineage: Eukaryota; Metazoa; Chordata; Actinopteri; Salmoniformes; Salmonidae. The record is from Ensembl.
GCACAAUAACGGCUUAGCAGCCGCACACAAGCCUUAGUUCACCGUGCGCAAUAGUCACAGUGGAAUAGUCACAGUGGAACACAUGGAUGUCAUGGAAGGAGAUUCAAAUUUUGAUGCUGUGAAAUUAUAGAAAAAUCCAAGAUGCCCUCUAAAUCAACCAAGGAGAGGUCAAGGACAUAUAUAAACAAGAUCCUAUAAGAUACCAGGAGUAUCUUAAGAAACAAAAAGAUACCUCAAAACAAAAAUGGUAUGGCCUCCGAGGACACCCAAGACCAACUGGAUGAGGCUAUUAAAAAGGCAGACCGGCUUUCUGAGGAGCUCAACCAAGAGAAGGACCCACAAACCCAACUGGACGAGGCCAUUAACGAGGCAAAAAGGCUGACUGAGGAGCUCAACCCAGAACGGGCAAUGUAACAAGUCGUACAUUACCGCUCCAAGAGCCAGUACAUCAAGAGCCAGACUAGUGCAAAAAAUGUUGGGCCGGUCACUGAGGAGGAAGAAUCAGGACCUGAGCCCUAGGACCAUGCCUCAGGACUACCUGACAUGAUGACUCCUUGCUGUUCCCAGUCCACCUGGCCGUGCUGCUGCUCCAGUUUCAACUGUUCUGCCUGUGAUUAUUAUUAUUUGACCAUGCUGGUCAUUUAUGAACAUUUGAACAUCUUGGCCAUGUUUUGUUAUAAUCGUGCCAGAAGAGGACUGGCCACCCCACAUAGCCUGGUUCCUCUCUAGGUUUCUUCCUAGGUUUUGGCCUUUCUAGGGAGUUUUUCCUAGCCACCGUGCUUCUACACCUGCAUUGCUGUUUGGGGUUUUAGGCUGGGUUUCUGUACAGCACUUUGAGAUAUCAGCUGAUGUACGAAGGGCUAUAUAAAUACAUUUGAUUUGAUUUGAAUGAAUGUCACUCUGAACUAUCCACUCUAACCACGACAGAGAAGGCGGACAAACUCUCCAACUUUUCAACAGAGACCCUGACGACACUGAGUGUAAAUAUAUAUAUAUAUAUUGAUUGCAAUUGUUCCCGAAUGAGUGAGCAUUCAUGUGCAAAGGAUUAGCAUUUCAAUUGUUAUAAUUAUCAACUGUGUGUUGUCUUAUCUCAGUCGACCCCCACUUCCCACUAGGGCACAUUCCCCUAUCAUUUCUUGUAACCAUAUCUACUGUUUGUUUAUGCAUUUCUGUGAAUUACUUAGUUAGUAAAUAAAUAAUUUAAGACAAUUGAUGUAUGGAUGACUCAUAGUGAAGACUGGGUUCGUGCAGAUAACCAAC